UUAAGCGACUAAGCGUACACGGUGGAUGCCCUGGCAGUCAGAGGCGAUGAAGGACGUGCUAAUCUGCGAAAAGCGUCGGUAAGGUGAUAUGAACCGUUACAGCCGGCGAUGUCCGAAUGGGGAAACCCAGUGUGAUUCGUCACACUAUCGUUAACUGAAUACAUAGGUUAACGAGGCGAACCGGGGGAACUGAAACAUCUAAGUACCCCGAGGAAAAGAAAUCAACCGAGAUUCCCCCAGUAGCGGCGAGCGAACGGGGAGCAGCCCAGAGUCUGAAUCAGCUUGUGUGUUAGUGGAACGGUCUGGAAAGUCCGACGGUACAGGGUGAUAGUCCCGUACACCAAAAUGCACAGGCUGUGAACUCGAAGAGUAGGGCGGGACACGUGGUAUCCUGUCUGAAUAUGGGGGGACCAUCCUCCAAGGCUAAAUACUCCUGACUGACCGAUAGUGAACCAGUACCGUGAGGGAAAGGCGAAAAGAACCCCGGCGAGGGGAGUGAAAAAGAACCUGAAACCGUGUACGUACAAGCAGUGGGAGCACCUUCGGGUGUGACUGCGUACCUUUUGUAUAAUGGGUCAGCGACUUAUAUUCUGUAGCAAGGUUAACCGUAUAGGGGAGCCGCAGGGAAACCGAGUCUUAACUGGGCGUUAAGUUGCAGGGUAUAGACCCGAAACCCGGUGAUCUAGCCAUGGGCAGGUUGAAGGUUGGGUAACACUAACUGGAGGACCGAACCGACUAAUGUUGAAAAAUUAGCGGAUGACUUGUGGCUGGGGGUGAAAGGCCAAUCAAACCGGGAGAUAGCUGGUUCUCCCCGAAAGCUAUUUAGGUAGCGCCUCGUGAACUCAUCUUCGGGGGUAGAGCACUGUUUCGGCUAGGGGGUCAUCCCGACUUACCAACCCGAUGCAAACUACGAAUACCGAAGAAUGUUAUCACGGGAGACACACGGCGGGUGCUAACGUCCGUCGUGAAGAGGGAAACAACCCAGACCGCCAGCUAAGGUCCCAAAGUCAUGGUUAAGUGGGAAACGAUGUGGGAAGGCACAGACAGCCAGGAUGUUGGCUUAGAAGCAGCCAUCAUUUAAAGAAAGCGUAAUAGCUCACUGGUCGAGUCGGCCUGCGCGGAAGAUGUAACGGGGCUAAACCAUGCACCGAAGCUGCGGCAGCGACACUAUGUGUUGUUGGGUAGGGGAGCGUUCUGUAAGCCUGCGAAGGUGUGCUGUGAGGCAUGCUGGAGGUAUCAGAAGUGCGAAUGCUGACAUAAGUAACGAUAAAGCGGGUGAAAAGCCCGCUCGCCGGAAGACCAAGGGUUCCUGUCCAACGUUAAUCGGGGCAGGGUGAGUCGACCCCUAAGGCGAGGCCGAAAGGCGUAGUCGAUGGGAAAACAGGUUAAUAUUCCUGUACUUGGUGUUACUGCGAAGGGGGGACGGAGAAGGCUAUGUUAGCCGGGCGACGGUUGUCCCGGUUUAAGCAUGUAGGCUGGUUAUCCAGGCAAAUCCGGAUAAUCAAGGCUGAGGUGUGAUGACGAGGCACUACGGUGCUGAAGUAACAAAUGCCCUGCUUCCAGGAAAAGCCUCUAAGCAUCAGGUAACAUCAAAUCGUACCCCAAACCGACACAGGUGGUCAGGUAGAGAAUACCAAGGCGCUUGAGAGAACUCGGGUGAAGGAACUAGGCAAAAUGGUGCCGUAACUUCGGGAGAAGGCACGCUGGUGUGUAGGUGAAGCCCCUGCGGGUGGAGCUGAGACCAGUCGAAGAUACCAGCUGGCUGCAACUGUUUAUUAAAAACACAGCACUGUGCAAACACGAAAGUGGACGUAUACGGUGUGACGCCUGCCCGGUGCCGGAAGGUUAAUUGAUGGGGUUAUCCGUAAGGAGAAGCUCUUGAUCGAAGCCCCGGUAAACGGCGGCCGUAACUAUAACGGUCCUAAGGUAGCGAAAUUCCUUGUCGGGUAAGUUCCGACCUGCACGAAUGGCGUAAUGAUGGCCAGGCUGUCUCCACCCGAGACUCAGUGAAAUUGAACUCGCUGUGAAGAUGCAGUGUACCCGCGGCAAGACGGAAAGACCCCGUGAACCUUUACUAUAGCUUGACACUGAACAUUGAGCCUUGAUGUGUAGGAUAGGUGGGAGGCUUUGAAGCGUGGACGCCAGUCUGCGUGGAGCCAACCUUGAAAUACCACCCUUUAAUGUUUGAUGUUCUAACGUUGGCCCCUUACCGGGGUUGCGGACAGUGUCUGGUGGGUAGUUUGACUGGGGCGGUCUCCUCCCAAAGCGUAACGGAGGAGCACGAAGGUUAGCUAAUCCUGGUCGGACAUCAGGAGGUUAGUGCAAUGGCAUAAGCUAGCUUGACUGCGAGCGUGACGGCGCGAGCAGGUGCGAAAGCAGGUCAUAGUGAUCCGGUGGUUCUGAAUGGAAGGGCCAUCGCUCAACGGAUAAAAGGUACUCCGGGGAUAACAGGCUGAUACCGCCCAAGAGUUCAUAUCGACGGCGGUGUUUGGCACCUCGAUGUCGGCUCAUCACAUCCUGGGGCUGAAGUAGGUCCCAAGGGUAUGGCUGUUCGCCAUUUAAAGUGGUACGCGAGCUGGGUUUAGAACGUCGUGAGACAGUUCGGUCCCUAUCUGCCGUGGGCGCUGGAGAAUUGAGGGGGGCUGCUCCUAGUACGAGAGGACCGGAGUGGACGCAUCACUGGUGUUCGGGUUGUCAUGCCAAUGGCACUGCCCGGUAGCUAAAUGCGGAAGAGAUAAGUGCUGAAAGCAUCUAAGCACGAAACUUGCCCCGAGAUGAGUUCUCCCUGAGACUUUAAGUCUCCUGAAGGAACGUUAAAGACGAUGACGUUGAUAGGCCGGGUGUGUAAGCGCAGCGAUGCGUUGAGCUAACCGGUACUAAUGAACCGUGAGGCUUAACCUU
Molecule: ribosomal RNA, 2901 nt
Filed under: Klebsiella pneumoniae
Lineage: Bacteria; Pseudomonadati; Pseudomonadota; Gammaproteobacteria; Enterobacterales; Enterobacteriaceae
Description: 23S ribosomal RNA
Rfam family: Bacterial large subunit ribosomal RNA
Source: RNAcentral